AACGAACGCUGGCGGCAGGCCUAACACAUGCAAGUCGAACGCUCCGCAAGGAGAGUGGCAGACGGGUGAGUAACACGUGGGAAUCUUCCUGUUGGUUCGGAAUAGCUCAGGGAAACUUGGGGUAAUACCGGAUAAGCCCGAGAGGGGAAAGAUUUAUCGCCGACAGAUGAGCCCGCGUCUGAUUAGCUAGUUGGUGAGGUAAUGGCUCACCAAGGCGACGAUCAGUAGCNGGUCUGAGAGGAUGACCAGCCACACUGGGACUGAGACACGGCCCAGACUCCUACGGGAGGCAGCAGUGGGGAAUAUUGGACAAUGGGCGCAAGCCUGAUCCAGCCAUGCCGCGUGAGUGACGAAGGUCUUCGGAUUGUAAAGCUCUUUUGCCAGGGACGAUAAUGACGGUACCUGGAGAAUAAGCCCCGGCUAACUUCGUGCCAGCCGCCGCCGUAAC
RNAcentral lists this ribosomal RNA (448 nucleotides) under uncultured bacterium. RNAcentral describes it as "bacterial SSU rRNA". It matches the Rfam family "Bacterial small subunit ribosomal RNA", at positions 29 to 524 of the family's 1533-position model. The record is from RNAcentral.